GACGAACGCUGGCGGCGUGCUUAACACAUGCAAGUCGAACGGAAAGGCCCUGCUUGCAGGGGUACUCGAGUGGCGAACGGGUGAGUAACACGUGGGUGAUCUGCCCUGCACUUCGGGAUAAGCCUGGGAAACUGGGUCUAAUACCGGAUAGGAGCCAUUUUUAGUGUGAUGGUUGGAAAGUUUUUUCGGUGUAGGAUGAGCUCGCGGCCUAUCAGCUUGUUGGUGGGGUAAUGGCCUACCAAGGCGGCGACGGGUAGCCGGCCUGAGAGGGUGGACGGCCACAUUGGGACUGAGAUACGGCCCAGACUCCUACGGGAGGCAGCAGUGGGGAAUAUUGCACAAUGGGCGCAAGCCUGAUGCAGCGACGCCGCGUGGGGGAUGACGGCCUUCGGGUUGGAAACUCCUUUCGCUAGGGACGAAGCUUUUUGUGACGGUACCUAGAUAAGAAGCACCGGCUAACUACGUG
RNAcentral lists this ribosomal RNA (466 nucleotides) under uncultured bacterium. RNAcentral's name for it is "partial 16S ribosomal RNA". It matches the Rfam family "Bacterial small subunit ribosomal RNA", at positions 28 to 507 of the family's 1533-position model. The record is from RNAcentral.